UAAUACGGAGGGUGCAAGCGUUAUCCGGAUUUAUUGGGUUUAAAGGGUCCGUAGGCGGAUCUGUAAGUCAGUGGUGAAAUCUCACAGCUUAACUGUGAAACUGCCAUUGAUACUGCAGGUCUUGAGUAAAUUUGAAGUGGCUGGAAUAAGUAGUGUAGCGGUGAAAUGCAUAGAUAUUACUUAGAACACCAAUUGCGAAGGCAGGUCACUAAGAUUUAACUGACGCUGAGGGACGAAAGCGUGGGGAGCGAACAGGAUUAGAUACCCUGGUAGUCCACGCCGUAAACGAUGCUAACUCGUUUUUGGGUUUUCGGAUUCAGAGACUAAGCGAAAGUGAUAAGUUAGCCACCUGGGGAGUACGUUCGCAAGAAUGAA
Molecule: ribosomal RNA, 375 nt
Filed under: uncultured bacterium
Lineage: Bacteria
Description: bacterial SSU rRNA
Rfam family: Bacterial small subunit ribosomal RNA
Source: RNAcentral